GCUCCCCUGGCGUAAUGGUAACGCGUUGGACUUCUAAUCCAAAGAUUGCGGGUUCGAGCCCCGCGGGGAGUG
This 72-nucleotide transfer RNA is filed under the name Endocronartium harknessii PhW48OC. RNAcentral describes it as "tRNA-Arg (TCT) (tRNA-Arg-TCT-2-1, tRNA-Arg-TCT-2-2)". It matches the Rfam family "tRNA". Rfam says of the family: Transfer RNA (tRNA) molecules are approximately 80 nucleotides in length. Lineage: Eukaryota; Fungi; Basidiomycota; Pucciniomycetes; Pucciniales; Coleosporiaceae. The record is from RNAcentral. RNAcentral also lists the same sequence under 3 other names.